RNAcentral lists this ribosomal RNA (174 nucleotides) under Escherichia coli. Its description in RNAcentral is "partial 16S ribosomal RNA". It matches the Rfam family "Bacterial small subunit ribosomal RNA", at positions 1 to 168 of the family's 1533-position model. The record is from RNAcentral. Lineage: Bacteria; Pseudomonadati; Pseudomonadota; Gammaproteobacteria; Enterobacterales; Enterobacteriaceae.
AAAUUGAAGAGUUUGAUCAUGGCUCAGAUUGAACGCUGGCGGCAGGCCUAACACAUGCAAGUCGAACGGUAACAGAAAGCAGCUUGCUGCUUUGCUGACGAGUGGCGGACGGGUGAGUAAUGUCUGGGAAACUGCCCGAUGGAGGGGGAUAACUACUGGAAACGGUAGCUAAUA